RNAcentral lists this ribosomal RNA (355 nucleotides) under Draco taeniopterus. RNAcentral describes it as "12S ribosomal RNA". The record is from RNAcentral. Lineage: Eukaryota; Metazoa; Chordata; Lepidosauria; Squamata; Agamidae.
GCCUAACUGUAAACUAAUAGCCAAAAAAGUACGAGCCUCGCUUGAAACUUUAAGGACCUGGCGGUACUCUACAUCAACCUAGGGGGGCCUGCCCAAUAACCGAUAAUCCACGAAGAACCUUACCACCUCUAGCCUCCAGCCUAUAUACCGCCGUCUUCAGCACAUUUCACAAAAAAUGAAGCCCAGUAGUACCUCACACUAACACGUCAGGUCAAGGUGUAGCUCAUGAGGUGGAAAAGCGCGAGCCACAUUAAAAUACCAUACAGAAACCCUGUUGAAACACAAGGUGAAAGACGAACUUAGCAGUAAGCGGAAUUGAAUGCUCCGCUGAAUCAAAACAUGCCCUAGAGUACGC